CUUGAACUCACAGAGAUCUACUUGCCUCUGCCUCCCAAGUGCUAGGAUUAAAGAGGCCUCAUUCAGUAAUUGAUGGAACCAGAUGCAGAAAUCCACAACCAAGAACCAGGCCAAGCUCCAGGAAUCCAGUCGAAGAGAGGGAGGAAGGAAUAUAUGAGCAAGGGAGGUCAUGGUCAUGAUGAAGAAAUCUACAGAGACAGGAGUUGUUAGGUCACCAUUCAGACUCCUGGUGCGGAGUGUGCUGAAGCCCACAAGAGGCUUCAGGAUUACUUCACCAAUGGAAAAAAUGCACUGAUUUAGUGAGAAUCCUGUCUCUCUGCCUGAG
This 325-nucleotide long non-coding RNA is filed under the name Cricetulus griseus (Chinese hamster). RNAcentral describes it as "lncRNA (ENSCGRG00015039433.1)". The record is from RNAcentral. Lineage: Eukaryota; Metazoa; Chordata; Mammalia; Rodentia; Cricetidae.